Molecule: ribosomal RNA, 264 nt
Filed under: uncultured bacterium
Lineage: Bacteria
Description: partial 16S ribosomal RNA
Rfam family: Bacterial small subunit ribosomal RNA
Source: RNAcentral
GUCCACGCCCUAAACGAUGUCAACUGGCUGUUGGGAGAGAAAUCUCUCAGUAGCGAAGCUAACGCGUGAAGUUGACCGCCUGGGGAGUACGGCCGCAAGGUUGAAACUCAAAGGAAUUGACGGGGGCCCGCACAAGCGGUGGAUGAUGUGGAUUAAUUCGAUGCAACGCGAAGAACCUUACCUACCCUUGACAUGCCAGGAAGUUUCCAGAGAUGGAUUCGUGCCCGCAAGGGAACCUGGACACAGGUGCUGCAUGGCUGUCGU